AAUAGAUACCCGGGUAGUCCACGCCGUAAACGAUGAGUGCUAAGUGUUAGAGGGUUUCCGCCCUUUAGUGCUGCAGCUAACGCAUUAAGCACUCCGCCUGGGGAGUACGGUCGCAAGACUGAAACUCAAAGGAAUUGACGGGGGCCCGCACAAGCGGUGGAGCACGUGGUUUAAUUCGAAGCAACGCGAAGAACCUUACCAGGUCUUGACAUCCUCUGACAACUCUAGAGAUAGAGCGUUCCCCUUCGGGGGACAGAGUGACAGGUGGUGCAUGGUUGUCGUCAGCUCGUGUCGUGAGAUGUUGGGUUAAGUCCCGCAACGAGCGCAACCCUUGAUCUUAGUUGCCAGCAUUUAGUUGGGCACUCUAAGGUGACUGCCGGUGACAAACCGGAGGAAGGUGGGGAUGACGUCAAAUCAUCAUGCCCCUUAUGACCUGGGCUACACACGUGCUACAAUGGAUGGUACAAAGGGCUGCAAGACCGCGAGGUCAAGCCAAUCCCAUAAAACCAUUCUCAGUUCGGA
RNAcentral lists this ribosomal RNA (522 nucleotides) under uncultured bacterium. RNAcentral's name for it is "bacterial SSU rRNA". It matches the Rfam family "Bacterial small subunit ribosomal RNA", at positions 777 to 1297 of the family's 1533-position model. The record is from RNAcentral.